RNAcentral lists this ribosomal RNA (2899 nucleotides) under Streptococcus pneumoniae GA43265. Its description in RNAcentral is "bacterial LSU rRNA". It matches the Rfam family "Bacterial large subunit ribosomal RNA". Lineage: Bacteria; Bacillati; Bacillota; Bacilli; Lactobacillales; Streptococcaceae. The record is from RNAcentral.
UUAAGUUAAUAAGGGCGCACGGUGGAUGCCUUGGCACUAGGAGCCGACGAAGGACGUGACAAACGACGAUAUGCCUUGGGUAGCUGUAAGUAAGCGAUGAUCCAGGGAUUUCCGAAUGGGGGAACCCAACAGGUAAUACCUGUUACCUACAUCUGUUAAGGAUGUGAGGAGGAAGACGCAGUGAACUGAAACAUCUAAGUAGCUGCAGGAAGAGAAAGCAAAAGCGAUUGCCUUAGUAGCGGCGAGCGAAACGGCAGAAGGGCAAACCGAAGAGUUUACUCUUCGGGGUUGUAGGACUGCAAUGUGGACUCAAAGAUUAUAGAAGAAUGAUUUGGGAAGAUCAGCCAAAGAGAGUAAUAGCCUCGUAUUUAAAAUAGUCUUUGUACUUAGCAGUAUCCUGAGUACGGCGGGACACGUGAAAUCCCGUCGGAAUCUGGGAGGACCAUCUCCCAACCCUAAAUACUCCCUGGUGACCGAUAGUGAACCAGUACCGUGAGGGAAAGGUGAAAAGCACCCCGGGAGGGGAGUGAAAUAGAACCUGAAACCGUGUGCCUACAACAAGUUCGAGCCCGUUAAUGGGUGAGAGCGUGCCUUUUGUAGAAUGAACCGGCGAGUUACGUUAUGAUGCGAGGUUAAGUUGAAGAGACGGAACCGUAGGGAAACCGAGUCUGAAUAGGGCGCCUUAGUAUCAUGACGUAGACCCGAAACCAUGUGACCUACCCAUGAGCAGGUUGAAGGUGCGGUAAGACGCACUGGAGGACCGAACCAGGGCACGUUGAAAAGUGCUUGGAUGACUUGUGGGUAGCGGAGAAAUUCCAAACGAACUUGGAGAUAGCUGGUUCUCUCCGAAAUAGCUUUAGGGCUAGCGUCGACAUUAGAGAUUCUUGGAGGUAGAGCACUGUUUGGGUGAGGGGUCCAUCCCCGGAUUACCAAUCUCAGAUAAACUCCGAAUGCCAAUGAAUUAUGGUCGGCAGUCAGACUGCGAGUGCUAAGAUCCGUAGUCAAAGGGAAACAGCCCAGACCACCAGCUAAGGUCCCAAAAUAAUUGUUAAGUGGAAAAGGAUGUGGGGUUGCACAGACAACUAGGAUGUUAGCUUAGAAGCAGCUAUUCAUUCAAAGAGUGCGUAAUAGCUCACUAGUCGAGUGACCCUGCGCCGAAAAUGUACCGGGGCUAAAACAAUUUACCGAAGCUGUGGAUACCUUUAUAGGUAUGGUAGGAGAGCGUUCUAUGUGUGAUGAAGGUAUACCGUGAGGAGUGCUGGAACGCAUAGAAGUGAGAAUGCCGGUAUGAGUAGCGAAAGACAGGUGAGAAUCCUGUCCACCGUAAGACUAAGGUUUCCAGGGAAGGCUCGUCCGCCCUGGGUUAGUCGGGACCUAAGGAGAGACCGAAAGGUGUAUCCGAUGGACAACAGGUUGAUAUUCCUGUACUAGAGUAUGUAGUGAUGGAGGGACGCAGUAGGCUAACUAAAGCAGACGAUUGGAAGAGUCUGUCUAAGCAGUGAGGUGUGAAUUGAGUCAAAUGCUUAAUUCUAUAACAUUGAGCUGUGAUGGGGAGCGAAGUUUAGUAGCGAAGUUAGUGACGUCACACUGCCAAGAAAAGCUUCUAGCGUUUAAACAUACUCUACCCGUACCGCAAACCGACACAGGUAGUCGAGGCGAGUAGCCUCAGGUGAGCGAGAGAACUCUCGUUAAGGAACUCGGCAAAAUGACCCCGUAACUUCGGGAGAAGGGGUGCUGACUUAAAGUCAGCCGCAGUGAAUAGGCCCAAGCAACUGUUUAUCAAAAACACAGCUCUCUGCUAAAUCGUAAGAUGAUGUAUAGGGGGUGACGCCUGCCCGGUGCUGGAAGGUUAAGAGGAGUGCUUAGCGUAAGCGAAGGUAUGAAUUGAAGCCCCAGUAAACGGCGGCCGUAACUAUAACGGUCCUAAGGUAGCGAAAUUCCUUGUCGGGUAAGUUCCGACCCGCACGAAAGGCGUAAUGAUUUGGGCACUGUCUCAACGAGAGACUCGGUGAAAUUUUAGUACCUGUGAAGAUGCAGGUUACCCGCGACAGGACGGAAAGACCCCAUGGAGCUUUACUGCAGUUUGAUAUUGAGUGUCUGUACCACAUGUACAGGAUAGGUAGGAGUCUAAGAGAUCGGGACGCCAGUUUCGAAGGAGACGCUGUUGGGAUACUACCCUUGUGUUAUGGCCACUCUAACCCAGAUAGGUGAUCCCUAUCGGAGACAGUGUCUGACGGGCAGUUUGACUGGGGCGGUCGCCUCCUAAAAGGUAACGGAGGCGCCCAAAGGUUCCCUCAGAAUGGUUGGAAAUCAUUCGCAGAGUGUAAAGGUAUAAGGGAGCUUGACUGCGAGAGCUACAACUCGAGCAGGGACGAAAGUCGGGCUUAGUGAUCCGGUGGUUCCGUAUGGAAGGGCCAUCGCUCAACGGAUAAAAGCUACCCUGGGGAUAACAGGCUUAUCUCCCCCAAGAGUUCACAUCGACGGGGAGGUUUGGCACCUCGAUGUCGGCUCGUCGCAUCCUGGGGCUGUAGUCGGUCCCAAGGGUUGGGCUGUUCGCCCAUUAAAGCGGCACGCGAGCUGGGUUCAGAACGUCGUGAGACAGUUCGGUCCCUAUCCGUCGCGGGCGUAGGAAAUUUGAGAGGAUCUGCUCCUAGUACGAGAGGACCAGAGUGGACUUACCGCUGGUGUACCAGUUGUCUUGCCAAAGGCAUCGCUGGGUAGCUAUGUAGGGAAGGGAUAAACGCUGAAAGCAUCUAAGUGUGAAACCCACCUCAAGAUGAGAUUUCCCAUGAUUAUAUAUCAGUAAGAGCCCUGAGAGAUGAUCAGGUAGAUAGGUUAGAAGUGGAAGUGUGGCGACACAUGUAGCGGACUAAUACUAAUAGCUCGAGGACUUAUCCAA